Molecule: unclassified non-coding RNA, 241 nt
Filed under: uncultured Helotiales
Lineage: Eukaryota; Fungi; Ascomycota; Leotiomycetes; Helotiales
Description: sequence contains ITS2
Rfam family: 5.8S ribosomal RNA (bases 1-52)
Source: RNAcentral
AACGCACAUUGCGCCCUGUGGUAUUCCGCAGGGCAUGCCUGUUCGAGCGUCAGUACAACACUCAAGCCUAGCUUGGUCUUGGGCCUCGCCGGAAACGGCGGGCCUUAAAAGUAGUGGCGGCGCCCGCUGGGCUUUAAGCGUAGUAAUACUCCUCGCUAUAGGGACCCGGUGGAUGCUGGCCAGCAACCCCCAACUUUCUAAGUUUGACCUCGGAUCAGGUAGGGAUACCCGCUGAACUUAA